Myotis davidii is the source of this 139-nucleotide long non-coding RNA. RefSeq lists it as uncharacterized. NCBI's taxonomy places the organism in Eukaryota, Metazoa, Chordata, Mammalia, Chiroptera, Vespertilionidae. The record is from RefSeq and is a predicted model, not a curated record. The transcript has 4 exons.
GUUCUGGUUAGGAUCUCCAGCCAGGUUCUCUCUCUAAGUUCCAUGUAAGUUCUGUCUCCUAAGUUCUGUCUCUCGAAUCUUCAUCUGAGUUCUCUGUGUAGGUUCUGACUUCUGUCUCCUGUGGUCUUCUAGGUUCUGG